This 468-nucleotide ribosomal RNA is filed under the name uncultured bacterium. Its description in RNAcentral is "partial 16S ribosomal RNA". It matches the Rfam family "Bacterial small subunit ribosomal RNA", at positions 28 to 507 of the family's 1533-position model. The record is from RNAcentral.
GACGAACGCUGGCGGCGUGCUUAACACAUGCAAGUCGAACGGAAAGGCCCUGCUUUUGUGGGGUGCUCGAGUGGCGAACGGGUGAGUAACACGUGAGUAACCUGCCCUUGACUUUGGGAUAACUUCAGGAAACUGGGGCUAAUACCGGAUAGGAGCUCCUGCUGCAUGGUGGGGGUUGGAAAGUUUCGGCGGUUGGGGAUGGACUCGCGGCUUAUCAGCUUGUUGGUGGGGUAGUGGCUUACCAAGGCUUUGACGGGUAGCCGGCCUGAGAGGGUGACCGGCCACAUUGGGACUGAGAUACGGCCCAGACUCCUACGGGAGGCAGCAGUGGGGAAUAUUGCACAAUGGGCGGAAGCCUGAUGCAGCAACGCCGCGUGCGUGAUGACGGCCUUCGGGUUGUAAACCGCUUUCGCCUGUGACGAAGCGGGAGUGACGGUAAUGGGUAAAGAAGCACCGGCUAACUACGUG